Molecule: ribosomal RNA, 269 nt
Filed under: uncultured bacterium
Lineage: Bacteria
Description: partial 16S ribosomal RNA
Rfam family: Bacterial small subunit ribosomal RNA
Source: RNAcentral
UACGGAGGGUGCGAGCGUUGUCCGGAAUCACUGGGCGUAAAGGGCGCGUAGGCGGCAUGCCAAGCGUGUGGUGAAAGCCCGGGGCUCAACCCCGGGUCGGCCGUGCGGACUGGCGUGCUCGAGCACUGUAGGGGCGGGUGGAAUUCCGGGUGUAGCGGUGGAAUGCGUAGAGAUCCGGGAGAACACCGGUGGCGAAGGCGGCCCGCUGGGCAGGAAGGCUCGCAAGAGCCGGCUGACGCUGAGGCGCGACAGCGUGGGGAGCAAACAGG